Molecule: ribosomal RNA, 458 nt
Filed under: uncultured bacterium
Lineage: Bacteria
Description: partial 16S ribosomal RNA
Rfam family: Bacterial small subunit ribosomal RNA
Source: RNAcentral
CCUACGGGAGGCAGCAGUGAGGAAUAUUGGUCAAUGGGCGAGAGCCUGAACCAGCCAAGUCGCGUGAGGGAGUACUGCCCUAUGGGUUGUAAACCUCUUUUGUCGGGGAGCAAAAGACGGACGUGUCCGGCUGUGAGAGUACCCGAAGAAAAAGCAUCGGCUAACUCCGUGCCAGCAGCCGCGGUAAUACGGAGGAUGCGAGCGUUAUCCGGAUUUAUUGGGGGUAAAGGGUGCGCAGGCGGAUUUUUAAGUCAGCGGUCAAAUCGUGGGGCUCAACCCCAUCCAGCCGUUGAACCUGGGGAUCUAGAGUGUGCGAGAGGUAUGCGGAAUGCGUGGUGUAGCGGUGAAAUGCAUAGAUAUCACGCAGAACCCCGAUUGCGAAGGCAGCAUACCGGUGCACAACUGACGCUCAGGCACGAAAGCGUGGGUAUCGAACAGGAUUAGAUACCCCAGUAGUC